RNAcentral lists this ribosomal RNA (569 nucleotides) under uncultured bacterium. RNAcentral describes it as "partial 16S ribosomal RNA". It matches the Rfam family "Bacterial small subunit ribosomal RNA", at positions 355 to 914 of the family's 1533-position model. The record is from RNAcentral.
UGGGGAAUCUUCCGCAAUGGACGAAAGUCUGACGGAGCAACGCCGCGUGAGUGAAGAAGGUUUUCGGAUCGUAAAACUCUGUCUUUUGGGGCGAACGUGAGUAUGGUGAACAAUCAUAGUCAGUGACGGUACCAAAGGAGGAAGCCACGGCUAACUACGUGCCAGUAGCCGCGGUAAUACGUAGGUGGCAAGCGUUGUCCGGAAUUAUUGGGCGUAAAGAGCGCGUAGGCGGGAUAGUCAGUCUGUUGUAAAAGUGCGGGGCUCAACCCCGUGAUGGCAAUGGAAACAGCUAUUCUUGAGUGCAGGAGAGGAAAGUGGAAUUCCCAGUGUAGCGGUGAAAUGCGUAGAUAUUGGGAGGAACACCAGUGGCGAAGGCGACUUUCUGGACUGUGUCUGACGCUGAGGCGCGAAAGCCAGGGGAGCGAACGGGAUUAGAUACCCCGGUAGUCCUGGCCGUAAACGAUGGGUACUAGGUGUGGGAGGUAUCGACCCCUUCCGUGCCGGAGUUAACGCAAUAAGUACCCCGCCUGGGGAGUACGGUCGCAAGACUGAAACUCAAAUGAAUUGAC